This 697-nucleotide ribosomal RNA is filed under the name uncultured bacterium. RNAcentral's name for it is "bacterial SSU rRNA". It matches the Rfam family "Bacterial small subunit ribosomal RNA", at positions 140 to 851 of the family's 1533-position model. The record is from RNAcentral.
GGGAUAACAUUUGGAAACAGAUGCUAAUACCGCAUAAGAUUACAGUACCGCAUGAUACAGUGAUCAAAGGAGCAAUCCGCUGAAAGAUGGGCUCGCGUCCGAUUAGAUAGUUGGUGAGGUAACGGCUCACCAAGUCGACGAUCGGUAGCCGGACUGAGAGGUUGAACGGCCACAUUGGGACUGAGACACGGCCCAGACUCCUACGGGAGGCAGCAGUGGGGAAUAUUGCACAAUGGGCGAAAGCCUGAUGCAGCAACGCCGCGUGAGGGAAGACGGUUUUCGGAUUGUAAACCUCUGUUUUCGGUGACGAAUAAAUGACGGUAACCGAGUAGGAAGCCACGGCUAACUACGUGCCAGCAGCCGCGGUAAUACGUAGGUGGCAAGCGUUAUCCGGAAUUACUGGGUGUAAAGGGAGCGCAGGCGGGAUAGCAAGUCAGUUGUGAAAACUAUGGGCUCAACCCAUAGAUUGCAGUUGAAACUGUUAUUCUUGAGUGGAGUAGAGGCAAGCGGAAUUCCGAGUGUAGCGGUGAAAUGCGUAGAUAUUCGGAGGAACACCAGUGGCGAAGGCGGCUUGCUGGGCUCUAACUGACGCUGAGGCUCGAAAGUGUGGGGAGCAAACAGGAUUAGAUACCCUGGUAGUCCACACUGUAAACGAUGAUUGCUAGGUGUGGGGGGUCUGACCCCCUCCGUGCCGGAG